Molecule: transfer RNA, 88 nt
Filed under: Kocuria sp.
Lineage: Bacteria; Bacillati; Actinomycetota; Actinomycetes; Micrococcales; Micrococcaceae
Also listed under: 2 other names
Description: tRNA-Ser
Rfam family: tRNA
About the family: Transfer RNA (tRNA) molecules are approximately 80 nucleotides in length. Their secondary structure includes four short double-helical elements and three loops (D, anti-codon, and T loops). Further hydrogen bonds mediate the characteristic L-shaped molecular structure. tRNAs have two regions of fundamental functional importance: the anti-codon, which is responsible for specific mRNA codon recognition, and the 3' end, to which the tRNAs corresponding amino acid is attached (by aminoacyl-tRNA synthetases). tRNAs cope with the degeneracy of the genetic code in two manners: having more than one tRNA (with a specific anti-codon) for a particular amino acid; and 'wobble' base-pairing, i.e. permitting non-standard base-pairing at the 3rd anti-codon position.
Source: RNAcentral
GGAAGGUUGUCCGAGCGGCCGAAGGAGCCGGUCUUGAAAACCGGUGUGCGGUAACCCCGUACCGUAGGUUCGAAUCCUACACCUUCCG